This 274-nucleotide ribosomal RNA is filed under the name uncultured bacterium. Its description in RNAcentral is "partial 16S ribosomal RNA". It matches the Rfam family "Bacterial small subunit ribosomal RNA", at positions 524 to 788 of the family's 1533-position model. The record is from RNAcentral.
UACGUAGGGUGCGAGCGUUAAUCGGAAUUACUGGGCGUAAAGCGUGCGCAGGCGGUUUUGUAAGCCAGAUGUGAUAUCCCCGGGCUCAACCUGGGAAUGGCAUUUGGGACUGCAAGGCUGGAGUACGGCAGAGGAGACUGGGAAUUCCUGGUGUAGCAGUGAAAUGCGUAGAUAUCAGGAGGAAUACCGAUGGCGAAGGCAGGUCUCUGGGGCUGAUACUGACGCUCAUGCACGAAAAGCGUGGGGGAGCGAAACAACGGAUUGAUGAAACCCC